RNAcentral lists this ribosomal RNA (485 nucleotides) under uncultured bacterium. Its description in RNAcentral is "partial 16S ribosomal RNA". It matches the Rfam family "Bacterial small subunit ribosomal RNA", at positions 28 to 507 of the family's 1533-position model. The record is from RNAcentral.
GAUGAACGCUGGCGGCGUGCUUAACACAUGCAAGUCGAACGGGAUCCAAGGGGUGCUUGCACUUUUUGGUGAGCGUGGCGAACGGGUGAGUAACACGUGAGUAACCUGUCCUUUUCUUUGGGAUAAGCAUUCGAAAGGGUGUUUAAUACCUUAUGUUCUGUCUGCCUCGCAUGGGGUGGGUGGGAAAGGCUUUGGCCGGUUUUGGGUGGGCUCGCGGUCUAUCAGCUUGUUGGUGGGGUGAUGGCGUACCACGGCGUUGACGGGUAGCCGGCCUGAGAGGGUGGUCGGUCUCAGUGGGACUGAGAUACGGCCCAGACGGCUGCGGUGGGCAGUAGUGGGCGAUAGUGGACAAUGUGCGAAAGCCUGAUGCAGCGACGGCGCGUGGGGUAUGAAGGCUUACGGGUUGUUAUCUGCUGUUGCUCUGAACAAGGCAUGCCAGUGGGUGUGUGGAGGGAAGGGGUUGAUAAGCGCCGGCUAACUACGUG